This 248-nucleotide ribosomal RNA is filed under the name uncultured bacterium. RNAcentral describes it as "partial 16S ribosomal RNA". It matches the Rfam family "Bacterial small subunit ribosomal RNA", at positions 108 to 353 of the family's 1533-position model. The record is from RNAcentral.
GAGUAACGCGUGAGUAACCUGCCUUCAAGAGGGGGAUAACAUUCUGAAAAGAAUGCUAAUACCGCAUGGCAUAUCGGAACCACAUGGUUUUGAUAUCAAAGAUUUUAUCGCUUGAAGAUGGACUCGCGUCCGAUUAGUUAGUUGGUGAGGUAACGGCUCACCAAGACCGCGAUCGGUAGCCGGACUGAGAGAGUGAACGGCCACAUUGGGACUGAGACACGGCCCAAACUCCUACGGGAGGCAGCAUG